AUCCAGCUGACGAGUCCCAAGUAGGACGGAACCCGCAUCCUGGAU
This is a non-coding RNA of Schistosoma margrebowiei, 45 nucleotides long. The record is from Rfam. NCBI's taxonomy places the organism in Eukaryota, Metazoa, Platyhelminthes, Trematoda, Strigeidida, Schistosomatidae.